GACGAACGCUGGCGGCAUGCCUAACACAUGCAAGUCGAACGAGAACUUCGGGUCUAGUGGCGCACGGGUGCGUAACGCGUGGGAAUCUGCCCUUGGGUUCGGAAUAACAGAUGGAAAGGAAUGCUAAUACCGGAUGAUGUCGUAAGUCCAAAGAUUUAUCGCCCAAGGAUGGGGCCGCGUAGGAUUAGCUGGUUGGUGAGGUAAAGGCUCACCAAGGCGACGAUCCUUAGCUGGUCGGAGAGGAUGCUCAGCCACACUUGGACUGCGACACGGCCCAGACUCCGACGGGAGGCUGCAGUGGGUUAUAUUGGACACUGAGCGAUAGCCUGAUCCAGCAAUGCCGCGUGAGUGAUCAAUGCCUUAGUGUUGUAAAGCUCUUUGACCCGGGAUGAUAAUGACGGUACCGGGUGAAGAAGCACCGGCUAACUCCGUG
RNAcentral lists this ribosomal RNA (433 nucleotides) under uncultured bacterium. RNAcentral describes it as "partial 16S ribosomal RNA". It matches the Rfam family "Bacterial small subunit ribosomal RNA", at positions 28 to 507 of the family's 1533-position model. The record is from RNAcentral.